RNAcentral lists this long non-coding RNA (1030 nucleotides) under Strigops habroptila (Kakapo). Its description in RNAcentral is "lncRNA (ENSSHBG00005014398.1)". The record is from RNAcentral. Lineage: Eukaryota; Metazoa; Chordata; Aves; Psittaciformes; Psittacidae.
UUUGACAUCUGGGUUCUUAAGAACUUUUUAUUAGUGUAGUUUUCAUGAUUGCAUAGUUUGCAAAAGAAACUUAACAAUGAAAUGCAGUCUCCUCACUGUGACCAUUCCAUUCUAAACCAUCAAUGCCCAGUGCUGGGAAUUCACACCACGUACCAACUGUACCAAAGCAGUCCUCUUCCAGGGCAAGUUUAAGAUCAAACAAACAAAAAUAAUUCUGGUAAGUUAAAUCCCAUUGCCAAAGGAGGUAAAUGCUCCUCUGUAACGGAGUCUGCACAAUACCAAUUAUAAAAUUCAGUUUCCCAACAGAAAAAAUAGUCUAAGUGACAGAAGAAAUCUGAUCAAACUGCUUACUGCAAGUUAAAUCCUUGUAAAUGUUUUAAAUGCUAAUGUUUCAGCUUGUGCUUUUAAAAGUGGUUUUUUAGCUCCUCUGGGCAUGAGCUGUCAGUUACCAGGAGACUAUGUGAUCAGGAACAGGUCAAGCUGUCAUCUUUAGCAGGGAGCCACAGGGGAGGGGUAGGGAGGUGGGGAUUACAGGGCAACUUCUGCUCACCACAAUCAUCAUCAAACAAAUGCCUUUGGAGCUGGUUGUGACCCCCCAGCUGUCAGCAGCUUCAACAGCUUCAGUGCAACAUCCAGAAUCACCCUCACUUGCAGACAAUCACAACCCUGAGUAGCAGCUGGAGAAGAGACUCCACCUCACACAUCCUCCCAGCACAGCCUCUCACCUGGGCUGCAAACCCCAGAGCUCUGGGAACAUGGUACAAGACACCAACGCCACCACCGUACACACUUUGUGAGGGGAAGGGGAGCCAGAGAAAGAAACGCCUUUGGUGGAACACAGCUCUGCUACUUUGCCAAGCCCCCAAAGGCAAAGGCUCCACCUGGCACUUGCACAUCCGUGACAGCCCAUGAAGUGAAACCUUGUUUAACAACGCAAACUGUGAAACAAGGGGCUGCUAUGUCCAUCUCCUUUAUUUGCGGCUCUGCGGUAUAAUGAUUACAGGUAGACUUUCAUGAACUGUACAAGCAG